GAUGAACGCUGGCGGCGUGCUUAACACAUGCAAGUCGAACGAAAAGGCCAGGAUUUUGUGGGUCGGUCGUUUGCGGAAGGGGGGAGAAAAACGCGUGUAACAUCCCCUUAUCUUUGGGGGAACUCCAGGAAACUGGGGCGAUAACCGGAGAGAAGCUCUUGCUCCAUGUGGGGGGUUGGAAAGAUUCGGUGGUGGGGGAUGGAAUCGCGGCUUACCAGCUUGUUGGUGGGGUAGUGGCUGACAAAGGCUUUGACGGGUAGCCGGCCUGAGAGGGUGACCGGCCACAGUGGGACUGAGAUACGGCCCAGACUCCUACGGGAGGCAGCAGUGGGGAAUAUUGCACAAUGGGCGGACGCCUGAUGCAGCAACGCCGCGUGCGGGAUGACGGCCUUCUGGUUGUAAACCGAUUUCGCCUGUGACGAAGCGUGAGUGACGGUAAUGGGUAAAGAAGCACCGGCUAACUACGUG
This 468-nucleotide ribosomal RNA is filed under the name uncultured bacterium. RNAcentral describes it as "partial 16S ribosomal RNA". It matches the Rfam family "Bacterial small subunit ribosomal RNA", at positions 28 to 507 of the family's 1533-position model. The record is from RNAcentral.